This is a long non-coding RNA of Talpa occidentalis (Iberian mole), 1962 nucleotides long. RefSeq lists it as uncharacterized. The record is from RefSeq and is a predicted model, not a curated record. NCBI's taxonomy places the organism in Eukaryota, Metazoa, Chordata, Mammalia, Eulipotyphla, Talpidae. The transcript is spliced from 10 exons.
UAUGAGCGCAACAUCCCGCCGAGGGACAAAUACAGAGCCAUUACAGGAAAGGGCAAUAUAAGACGUAGUCACAGGUUUAAAAACAAUCUUAGUUCCUGAUGCAGUCUGAAAUCCAGCAGCAUAUAUCAGUGGAUGACUCCCCCAUGCCCUCCUAAACAUCAAAAAGAAAAGCCAACAGAGCAGGAAAUUCAGCUCCAGCCAUUUCUAGCAACUUUCCCCAUGGGUUCCAUUGCACUCUGCUCUUUGCCUUAGAAGAUGUUUUGUUCAAGAUGGUUUUGCCUUUUAUGUAUCGGUCCCAGGAGGAAGACAGUAUCCAGGUCUCCAAGGAAAGCAACUUGAAAUUCCGACCCACAAACACUGCAUUUUGAGUGAAAGUGGAAUUCAGGUCAUUAUUUUAUGAUUCUCAUUGCUUAUGUGCAAUAAUGAACUUGGACUAAGCUGUUCAUAUUGUCAUCUCUUCAGUUAAAGUACAUACAUCCGUAGGAGACAAGGAAGCAGGAUGGAGCCAGGAGACCUGGAGGAGGCACAUGGAGCCGAGAGACACAGAAAACAUUUGAAGCCUGAAGAAAGAAAUCAACGCCAGACACUUGAUCUCCCAGCUGACCAGGGGAGAUGUGGCCGAUCCCUCAGAAUGGAGUCUGCCUCUCCUGCCCGGAUGGCUCUUUUCUGCCUGAUUUUUGUGUACAGGAGAGAAAUGCCAAGGAGACAUAUUUCUGGAUAAUGAGUCCAUCCUCUGAGGAUAGGAAGAAGGGAGAUGGGAGCAAAUUUCUAACAGAAUGCAGGCAGCGGAGGACAGAGAAUCUCGCCAACAUAUGUGUGGACGUGAUGCACCACCUCCAUUUGUUUUGUGGAAAUUGAAGUUAGGAAAAAGUUUGUCACUCUGGCUGGGACCUCAGCUAUGUACUAGGCUUGUAUUGUCAAUACCUGGCGACAACUCGGACCAUGUGGAUACAACCAAAUGGAGAGACAGCAGGUCUGGAUUAAACAAUGCAGUCUGGAAAAUCAUUCUUUCCAACAAGACCUCAGUGCAAGCACAACCUCUGUUGUGAAGUGAGACACUCCAAAAGGGAGGAGAGUUCCAUGACUUCCCUCUGCAACUGAGGCGUAUUCGGUAUAACAAAAGCUACUCUUUUAAAUGUGACAAUUCACAAAAGGGCAUUACAAGAUUGAGAUCCUGUGUGUAAAAGUGUUUUCAACUUGUUCUGGAAGAAGAAUGAAUUUCUUGGCUGCGAUAGUUGUUCCCAGGAACUAUCACUUUUCUUGGCUGUUAAAUGUAUCUAACUGAUUUGUGUCACCAAGUGUAAGUCAUCCAAAGCCAUAACAAAGAUCACAGUACAUGAGGUAACCCAAGGAUCCCGCUCUCUGAACCCAGCACCUCUCCAAACAUACCUCACCCCAGCACCACAGAGUGCCUGUGAGCACGUGGGCAGCCUGGAGGCCACACUGAGCACACCCAGGCUAAUGAAAUCUUCUCCAUCUUGCUCCUGAAGUUCAUUCAAUCAAUGCAAAUCUGAAGCCUCCAGAAUCCUCGCAUUCCUUGACCUUUCAAAGCCCAUAUUCUGAUGAGGUGACCCAAGAAUAAAAGGAGGAGAGGAUGUUUGUAAACUUGAUGCCUGUUUGCUCAUGAGAAGUCAUGCUGUCUUUGACAUCUGAUCCACUGCCCCGCUGAAUAAAGACACGGGGCUAGAGCACCUGUCCAAGUUUGCUUUGCUUCUUUGGAGGGACUUAGGGAGAGCAAAGCACAUCUAUUGAAAGUGUGGGUUCCAAUCAUCUACACUGGUUCCAAGUGGAUGCAUUCUGUCUUUCAGAUUCAAUUGGAAAGUUGCGAAAAACUGGUUAAAUCUAAAAACCAUGAAAACUCCAAAUUGAGCUAGUGAGAAGGGAGAGGCAUGGCUCUGUAUAUUUGCCAGCAGGGAACAGUUUUUUCAGCAAAAUUUUGCUUUUCUUUUCUGUCUUGGGAAA